Molecule: ribosomal RNA, 1244 nt
Filed under: metagenome
Description: bacterial LSU rRNA
Rfam family: Bacterial large subunit ribosomal RNA
Source: RNAcentral
UUCAGUCUAGAGUUGACCGUACCGCAAACCGACACAGGUGGGCAGGAUGAAAAUUCUAAGGCGCUUGAGAGAACUCAGGAGAAGGAACUCGGCAAAUUAACACCGUAACUUCGGGAGAAGGUGUGCCCCGGUAGCGUGUAGAGACUUGCUCUCGAAGCGCGAUGGGGUUGCAGUGAAAUGGUGGCUGCGACUGUUUAAUAAAAACACAGCACUCUGCAAACACGAAAGUGGACGUAUAGGGUGUGACGCCUGCCCGGUGCCGGAAGGUUAAGUGAUGGGGUGCAAGCUCUUGAUCGAAGCCCCGGUAAACGGCGGCCGUAACGAUAACGGUCCUAAGGUAGCGAAAUUCCUUGUCGGGUAAGUUCCGACCUGCACGAAUGGCGUAACGAUGGCCACACUGUCUCCUCCUGGGACUCAGCGAAGUUGAAAUGUUUGUGAAGAUGCAAUCUACCCGCGGCUAGACGGAAAGACCCCAUGAACCUUUACUGUAGCUUUGCAUUGGACUUUGAACCGGUUUGUGUAGGAUAGGUGGGAGACUGUGAAGCCGGGACGCUAGUUUCGGUGGAGUCAACCUUGAAAUACCACCCUGAUUUGUUUGAGGUUCUAACCUUGGUCCGUGAAUCCGGAUCGGGGACCGUGCAUGGUAGGCAGUUUGACUGGGGCGGUCUCCUCCCAAAAGGUAACGGAGGAGUACGAAGGUACGCUUAGGGCGGUCGGACAUCGCCCACAAAGUGCAAUGGCAAAAGCGUGCUUGACUGCGAGACCCACAAGUCGAGCAGGUACGAAAGUAGGUCAUAGUGAUCCGGUGGUUCUGUAUGGAAGGGCCAUCGCUCAACGGAUAAAAGGUACUCUGGGGAUAACAGGCUAAUUCCUCCCAAGAGUUCAUAUCGACGGGGGAGUUUGGCACCUCGAUGUCGGCUCAUCACAUCCUGGGGCUGUAGUCGGUCCCAAGGGUAUGGCUGUUCGCCAUUUAAAGUGGUACGCGAGCUGGGUUUAAAACGUCGUGAGACAGUUUGGUCCCUAUCUGCCGUGGGCGCUGGAAAUUUGAAGGGGGCUGCUCCUAGUACGAGAGGACCGGAGUGGACGAACCUCUGGUGUACCGGUUAUGACGCCAGUCGUAUCGCCGGGUAGCUAAGUUCGGAAGAGAUAAACGCUGAAAGCAUCUAAGCGUGAAACUCGCCUUAGAUAAGAUUUCCCGGAGUCUUGAACUCCCUGAAGGGUCGUCGAAGACCACGACGUUGAUA